GGAUGUGAGGGCGAUCUGGCUGCGACAUCUGUCACCCCAUUGAUCGCCAGGGUUGAUUCGGCUGAUCUGGCUGGCUAGGCGGGUGUCCCCUUCCUCCCUCACCGCUCCAUGUGCGUCCCUCCCGAAGCUGCGCGCUCGGUCGAAGAGGACGACCAUCCCCGAUAGAGGAGGACCGUUCUUCGGUCAAGGGUAUACGAGUAGCUGCGCUCCCCUGCUAGAACCUCCAAACAAGCUCUCAAGGAAAAUUAAAGGUGAUUGUGUCUAUGUGCUUUUACUAUUUUUUUUAAUAAGGCAUUAAAGAGAUUCAGUUCCUCCCAGUUCUUAAUAUGUACUUUU
Molecule: small nuclear RNA, 336 nt
Filed under: Castor canadensis (American beaver)
Lineage: Eukaryota; Metazoa; Chordata; Mammalia; Rodentia; Castoridae
Description: 7SK RNA (ENSCCNG00000026962.1)
Rfam family: 7SK RNA
About the family: 7SK was discovered as an abundant small nuclear RNA in the mid-70s but a possible function has only recently been suggested.
Source: RNAcentral